ACGCUUUUCAUUGAUACAAAAUGGAGGGCGAGGAAGAAAUAGUAAUGUUUGAAUUGGCAGGACUACCCAAUCCUGAUCUAGUUAAGGACAAGUCCUGCUUCAUAUUGGGUUUAGAAACAGGUCAACCUUUAGUGCAGGUUGGGAGUUUAGUCUUUCAAGGAAAAUAUGAAGAUGUGUUUGGAACUGGUUUAAUAUUUGAGAAAUCACCAGAUGGAUCAGUCAAUUUGAUUGGUAAAUGUACAAAGAAAGCAAUAAUGAAAAGCAUUCCAAUGAAACACAACAACAAGGACAAUGAUUGAUAAUCAAUUAAGUAAUCAGUUGCAAUAUAAUGAAUAACUAAUGAUUAAUGAUCAAGAAACAGUUUAAUGGUCAUUCUUGUU
This is a long non-coding RNA of Amphimedon queenslandica, 380 nucleotides long. RefSeq lists it as uncharacterized. NCBI's taxonomy places the organism in Eukaryota, Metazoa, Porifera, Demospongiae, Haplosclerida, Niphatidae. The transcript is spliced from 3 exons. The record is from RefSeq and is a predicted model, not a curated record.